This 584-nucleotide long non-coding RNA is filed under the name Cyanistes caeruleus (blue tit). RNAcentral describes it as "lncRNA (ENSCCEG00000018629.1)". Lineage: Eukaryota; Metazoa; Chordata; Aves; Passeriformes; Paridae. The record is from RNAcentral.
AUUUUAUCCUAUUAUAUUAAUGAAAAUUUGAAUAGCAACACUUUAGAUGACUGGCUGGUGAGAUAAUCUUAUUUUCCUUCAAGUGCUUGUCCUGAGCACAGGAGACAGCUGAUUCCACACAGUCUUGCUGGUUGCCAUUAAGAAUGGAAAUUUCCAAUUAAAGGUAUAUCGUCUUAAGGACCUUUCUGGCAAGCAUAAAAGAGAGGGUUUUAGUGGGAACUUGGUGACUGGUGGUUGCUACCAACACUUGCUACAGUGCCAGAGUCACUGUUCAUCCACAGAGCUGUGGCCACCAGGGGUGGAAUGUACUAACAGCAGCAAGUCCCAGUCCUGUUGUUUUAGGCAUCAAAGGUUCUGGCACGCCCUCAAUGGAAUCACGAUUAACUAUUUGUGCUGUACAGAAGCUGGGGUCUACUACGACAGCAGCUGCCCUGUGCUUGUAUGGGAAAGAGAAUAUAAGAAAAAUGUGUCUGAAUCAGAAAACAUGAAAGCAGGACACUGGAAAAAACACAGACACAGUAAGAAGGGUGUGUAUCUAGCAUAUGAUUAAUGUAAUCUCUGUCAAUUGGAACUUUAACAUUUAG